CCUACGGGAGGCAGCAGUGGGGAAUAUUGGACAAUGGGCGAAAGCCUGAUCCAGCAAUGCCGCGUGAGUGAUGAAGGCCUUAGGGUUGUAAAGCUCUUUUUACCAGGGAUGAUAAUGACAGUACCUGGAGAAUAAGCUCCGGCUAACUCCGUGCCAGCAGCCGCGGUAAUACGGAGGGAGCUAGCGUUGUUCGGAAUUACUGGGCGUAAAGCGUACGUAGGCGGUUAUUCAAGUCAGAGGUGAAAGCCCGGGGCUCAACCCCGGAACGGCCUUUGAAACUAGAUAGCUAGAAUCUUGGAGAGGUUAGUGGAAUUCCGAGUGUAGAGGUGAAAUUCGUAGAUAUUCGGAAGAACACCAGUGGCGAAGGCGACUAACUGGACAAGUAUUGACGCUGAGGUACGAAAGCGUGGGGAGCAAACAGGAUUAGAUACCCUGGUAGUCCACGCCGUAAACGAUGAUAACUAGCUGUUCGGGCACUUGGUGCUUGAGUGGCGCAGCUAACGCAUUAAGUUAUCCGCCUGGGGAGUACGGUCGCAAGAUUAAAACUCAAAGGAAUUGACGG
RNAcentral lists this ribosomal RNA (562 nucleotides) under uncultured bacterium. RNAcentral's name for it is "bacterial SSU rRNA". It matches the Rfam family "Bacterial small subunit ribosomal RNA", at positions 338 to 916 of the family's 1533-position model. The record is from RNAcentral.